This 383-nucleotide long non-coding RNA is filed under the name Mus musculus (house mouse). Its description in RNAcentral is "predicted gene, 48129". The record is from RNAcentral. Lineage: Eukaryota; Metazoa; Chordata; Mammalia; Rodentia; Muridae.
UGAGUCAGAAAGGCCAUCUAAUUUCUGCUGUGCUGUUCUUUGGUUCUUGAGCUCAGUUGCCUUAACCUAUGAGAUGCUGUGUCAAGACAUGGUCUGUCAUGGAACAUGUUUUCACUGAUGAAUGCCGUAGGAUGGGGUGGGUUGAAACACAUACAUGCUUGAGUGUAUGUGGAGUCCAGAGGGAAACCUCUCUGGUGUCAUCUUCGGGGAUGCCAACUAUCUUCAUGAGUCAGGGUCUUUCAUGGGCCUAGAAUCCAGCCACUAGGCUAGCUUAGCUAGCCAUCUAGCUCUAGAAAUCCUCCUCCUGCUGCUUCCCCAGAUGCGAAGUCAAAAUCUCAUCCUCAUAUUUGUGAGGCAGGCACAUUACCAAGGUGAGCUCUCUU